CCUAUAUGCAUUGAUUUAUUUUAGAUUUAAUAAUAAUAUUUUUUAUAAUUAAAAAUGCCGAUGGGAAGUGGAAGAAAGAAAGCUGGAGAAUGGGAUGAAGUGACUGAAGUUGAAAACAGUACAAAGGUUUCUUGUGACUAUUGUCAUGCUUUGAUUAGCAACAAGAUAGAACGAGUAAAACCCCAUUUAAAACAUUGCCAAAAAAAGUUUAAGUUUUUACACAAGCAUACAGAAAGAGAAAAUCUCAAUUUGUCAAAAUAUUUAAAUAAAAAUUGUGAUGAUGUACCAAAUAAUGAUUUAAAUAUUAGUGCAUCUGCUCUAAUAGAUGGACCAUCAUCUCCAAUAGCUGGACCAUCAGCUCAAGUUGGAAAAAGUUCUUUGGCAUCUGUAAGUUCUAUAAGUUCGUUAACACCUUGUAAGAAGCAGCGGUUGAUGUCAUCGUACACAAUAUCAACUAAUCUGGAACAGAAAGAAAAUAUUGAUAUAAAGAUAGCAAAAUUUUUCUUCAGUGCAAAUGUAUCAUUUAAAACUUCUGAAAAUCAAGAAUUUAUAGACAUGAUCAGUUCAUUGAGACCAGGAUACAAACCACCUAACCGUAAAAUGCUAGGAGGAGAGCUCUUAGAAAAAGUUUAUGAGGAAGUAAACAAAAAAAUGAUGGAUCAACUUACCCAAGAAGAGAAAACAAUAACAAUUAUGCAAGACGGAUGGAGUAGUGUUACUAAUGAUCCCAUUAUUGCUCACAGUGCAUAUGACGGACUUAAUUCUAAAAUUUUAUGCAUUACUGAUUGUGCAUCAAAUAAAAAAACAGCCAAGUAUUGUACCGAACUUCUUUGUAAUGUCAUUAAAGAUCUUAAAGAAACAUACAAUAAAGAAGUAUUUGCUGUGGUAACAGAUAAUGAAAAUAAGAUGAAAAAAAUGAGGGAUUCAAUCAAAGAAACGUAUCCAAAUCUUUUAACAUAGGGUGUUCUGCACAUUAUUUAAACCUUUUAGAAAAAGAAGUAACACACCCAGAUGUCAUCAAACAUGUGGUUGAAGUGCAGAAAUAUUUUCGUAAUACACAUCAACCGCAUGGAUGGUUGCGUGAGAAAGGAGGGCAUAUGCCUCAGUUACCAAACGAUACCCGAUGGAACUCCCAAAUUGACUGUAUAGAAACAUACAUAAAAAACUACCAAAUUUAUGUAGAAAUAGUAGAUAAUCAUGAUAUACCUAUCAAAAUCAGAAAAAUUAUUGAAAAUCGAGCAAUAUUUAGAGAAGCUAACAGUCUUCAAACCCAACUCAAAAUAUUUGGUGUUGUUUUAGAUCAAAUGCAAAGUGACAGCUGUCACCUAUCCGAAUGUGUUGAGUUGUGGCUCUCACUUCUGAAUAACCCUGAACUAAGUCAUUACCACACAGCUAUCAAAAAGAGAUGUAAUGAUGCUUUGACACCUAUCCAUUAUCUUGCAUACAUGACCAAUCCUCGCUUUUUGGGCAAAAACCUGCCGAUUGAAAAUGAAGAUGAGGCUGAAGAAUGGCUUUACAAUCAUUAUCCUGAUUUUGUACCUGGGUUGAUUUUGCUUAAAUUAAAGGAUUGUGAUGCAUUUCCUAAAAGGAUGUUGAGUAAUCAAAUUAUAUCAACAAUAUUGUGCAGUGAUUGGUGGUCUAUCAUUAACCAGAGAAAUGAAAAAUCAAUUCAGAAAAAAUUGCCUGAAGGAUUUUGCAAAUUUAUUUCUAAACUUCAAACGUGCCCUGCUAGCUCAGGAUCAAUAGAAAGAAUAUUUUCUUCAUUUGGUUUUAUUUGGUCAAAAGUUAGAAAUAAAUUAGGAUGUGAAAAGGCUAAAAAGCUUGUGCAAAUAUAUAAACAGUAUCAAAAAUAGUUUAUAGUUUAUGUUUUUACAUAAGAGUUUAUGCUUUUACAAUAUAAAGUGAAUAUUACAUUAAAGUAAAGUUGUAUUUGCAAGAAGUAUACCAAAAAUGUAAAUAGUCUUGUCAAUGUGUAUCUAUUCUAAAAAAUCUUAUUGAAUGAAUCUAAUUUGUUUGGUUUCCAAAAUAAAAUUGUGUUAAAUAAAA
Non-coding RNA from Hydra vulgaris (swiftwater hydra), 2046 nucleotides. The record is from RefSeq and is a predicted model, not a curated record. Lineage: Eukaryota; Metazoa; Cnidaria; Hydrozoa; Anthoathecata; Hydridae.